UACAUUGCAUUUCGAAUCGCGUGCCAUUCCGCGUUACGUGGUCGAGAAAGGAAGUUGUAUUUAGAAAGGUUUUUCCCCGGUUUUCAAGACUGGGUUAAGUGUUUGUGACUGCCCAUUCUACUGGCAGAAGAAUGGCGCCAAGAAGACACGAAGCACCCUCCAACAACGCCACGGUCUUUCAGGAUGCGACCAACCUUCUCCCCCCCUGGGAGACGACACCACCGCCACCCACGCCCUCACAGCCUCUAAACUCGUUUAUAUCGAAGCCAAUGUCCAUAAAGAAGAAGCCGUUUAAGAAGGUGGUGAAACCUCCUCCUUCAAUAAAGAAGAAAACCAGCUAGGAUGGACUGCUAAGAUACCCGAUAAGGAACUCAACUGAAAAUCUCGAAUUAAUACUUCAUACGGUGAAUAACAUCAAUUUGGCUUGAAUAUAAAACUUAUAAAAUUACCAGACACUUCACGCCGGUCUGUGAGGCAGUGGUAAAACCCCGGUCGAGCCAGUCCAGUCUUGCAUAAAAGUGUAAUUACAGACGAACAAAUAAAAUAUGUUUUUCCUAUUAAAUAUAUUAUAUUAUAUUAAUGCAAUUUCUUGCAAUUAUAUGCCAGCAUAAAUGAGGAAAUCUGGCAUUUGUAUCUUUUAGUUUUUAACCUGAAACUAACCAUAUUUAACUUGAUAAUGUUGUUAAAAUAUCGACUGACGAGAAAAUGUUGCCUUCGACUUUUGCCAGAAUUAUGUAUUUUAUAUGCAAUAUAUUAUGACAAUAUGAGAACAAUAAAUUAUUAUUGAUGGCA
Molecule: long non-coding RNA, 792 nt
Organism: Manduca sexta (tobacco hornworm)
Lineage: Eukaryota; Metazoa; Arthropoda; Insecta; Lepidoptera; Sphingidae
Exons: 3
Source: RefSeq, a predicted model, not a curated record